RNAcentral lists this ribosomal RNA (497 nucleotides) under uncultured bacterium. RNAcentral's name for it is "partial 16S ribosomal RNA". It matches the Rfam family "Bacterial small subunit ribosomal RNA", at positions 28 to 507 of the family's 1533-position model. The record is from RNAcentral.
GAUGAACGCUGGCGGCGUGCCUAAUACAUGCAAGUCGAGCGAACAGACGAGGAGCUUGCUCCUCUGACGUUAGCGGCGGACGGGUGAGUAACACGUGGAUAACCUACCUAUAAGACUGGGAUAACUUCGGGAAACCGGAGCUAAUACCGGAUAAUAUAUUGAACCGCAUGGUUCAAUAGUGAAAGACGGUUUUGCUGUCACUUAUAGAUGGAUCCGCGCCGCAUUAGCUAGUUGGUAAGGUAACGGCUUACCAAGGCAACGAUGCGUAGCUGACCUGAGAGGGUGAUCGGCCACACUGGAACUGAGACACGGUCCAGACGCCUACGGGAGGCAGCAGUAGGGAAUCUUCCGCAAUGGGCGAAAGCCUGACGGAGCAACGCCGCGUGAGUGAUGAAGGUCUUCGGAUCGUAAAACUCUGUUAUUAGGGAAGAACAAAUGUGUAAGUAACUAUGCACGUCUUGACGGUACCUAAUCAGAAAGCCACGGCUAACUACGUG